GCGUCGAAGGCGUGUAGACUGCUGCCCUCCGAAGGCAGGGGUUGCUGGUUCGAUCCCAGCCGGGCGCGCCA
This 71-nucleotide transfer RNA is filed under the name Ralstonia pickettii. Its description in RNAcentral is "tRNA-Arg". The record is from RNAcentral. Lineage: Bacteria; Pseudomonadati; Pseudomonadota; Betaproteobacteria; Burkholderiales; Burkholderiaceae.